AAAGAGAAAGUUCUCCAUUUUGUUUUUGCAAAUAAGCCGAUCCUCGUAUUUACUAGCAGAUCCUUAUCUAACCAUGUAACCAUCUAUGAUCUUACUUCACUAUCCUAAUAACCAAAAUGUUACUCUAACCUAGUAUCCCACUUGAUAAGACCAAAAUGGCUGUUACAUUGAAACACAUAAACUGGCCAAACCAUUGAUGAAUGAUGCCAAGUUAUUAUCUUGCAAACAACAAAAUACUAUCUAGUCUCAAAAGGAUAAUAAAAACAAAUAACUAGAGCACUCCAAUAUAUCAUUGCUUAAUUCUUUGGCAAGAGGUAUUCCGAUCUGUAUGGGUGAUGAAGGCAUAGUCAUUUUGUAUUAAACACUGUCAUUUUUGUUAUUUAUCUAGUUAGUUGAUUGUUUUGGAUAUACUGUUUCUUAUCUAUUAGAAGAGAGUAAAUAGCUGAGAAUGAGCAGUAUGUUCUGUGUAAAAAGAAUAAUAGAAUCAUUAGCCCUCUUUCUUGAUUCUUCUAGAAUUUUUUUUUUCCCUUCUCUCCAUUUCUUCCUUCAUUCCUUCCCCUUCUCUCUACUUUCUCAGCUGCAAAACAAGAGUUAGGCCUGAAAAUAUCAGGUCCUAAAAAUAAUGCUUUUAAUAGGAAACAUUCUAAUAUUUAACAUCUCCCUGUAAGCACUGAAAUUGUAUUAAAAAAGAGGUAAAUCUCCAUUGAAAACCAUCACUUUUGUUGAAUGAAUGGAAUUACGGCUUUCUUCUCUAACUGAGCUUAUGCCCUUUAGGCCAUUCAGAAAAUUCACUUUAGAAGAAUAUCCUUUACCUCUAUCACCCUUAACUGAGCCAUAAGCCAUAAGAAGCCAACUUUGUUUAUCUUGUUUUUGUAAGCUUGAAAAAGAACUACUGUUGUUGAGGGCACCUAAAGUAUCCACUGGGCCUUUUAGCAUCUCAUAUUGAUGUAGAACAAAGGGAAAGA
RNAcentral lists this unclassified non-coding RNA (965 nucleotides) under Hevea brasiliensis (rubber tree). The record is from RNAcentral. Lineage: Eukaryota; Viridiplantae; Streptophyta; Magnoliopsida; Malpighiales; Euphorbiaceae.